This 305-nucleotide ribosomal RNA is filed under the name uncultured bacterium. RNAcentral describes it as "bacterial SSU rRNA". It matches the Rfam family "Bacterial small subunit ribosomal RNA", at positions 335 to 657 of the family's 1533-position model. The record is from RNAcentral.
CCCCCUACGGGGGGCAGCAGUGGGGAAUAUUGCACAAUGGGGGAAACCCUGAUGCAGCAACGCCGCGUGAGUGAAGAAGUCAUUCGUGAUGUAAAGCUCUGUCUUCAGGGACGAUAAUGACGGUACCUGAGGAGGAAGCCACGGCUAACUACGUGCCAGCAGCCGCGGUAAUACGUAGGUGGCGAGCGUUGUCCGGAUUUACUGGGCGUAAAGGGAGCGUAGGCGGACUUUUAAGUGAGAUGUGAAAUACUCGGGCUCAACUUGAGUGCUGCAUUUCAAACUGGAAGUCUAGAGUGCAGGAGAGG